RNAcentral lists this unclassified non-coding RNA (147 nucleotides) under soil metagenome. RNAcentral's name for it is "partial internal transcribed spacer 1". The record is from RNAcentral.
CCGAGUUUACAACUCCCAACCCCCUGUGAACAUACCACUUGUUGCCUCGGCGGAUCAGCCCGCUCCCGGUAAAACGGGACGGCCCGCCAGAGGACCCCUAAACUCUGUUUCUAUAUGUAACUUCUGAGUAAAACCAUAAAUAAAUCA